GUAGGUGGCAAGCGUUGUCCGGAAUUAUUGGGCGUAAAGCGCGCGCAGGCGGUCCUUUAAGUCUGAUGUGAAAGCCCACGGCUCAACCGUGGAGGGUCAUUGGAAACUGGGGACUUGAGUACAGAAGAGGAAAGCGGAAUUCCAAGUGUAGCGGUGAAAUGCGUAGAGAUUUGGAGGAACACCAGUGGCGAAGGCGGCUUUCUGGUCUGUAACUGACGCUGAGGCGCGAAAGCGUGGGGAGCAAACAGGGGUUAGAUACCCUGGUAGUCCACGCCGUAAACGAUGAGUGCUAAGUGUUAGGGGGUUUCCCGCCCCCUUAGUGCUGCAGCUAACGCAUUAAGCACUCCGCCUGGGGGAUACGGCCGCAAGGCUG
RNAcentral lists this ribosomal RNA (373 nucleotides) under uncultured organism. Its description in RNAcentral is "partial 16S ribosomal RNA". It matches the Rfam family "Bacterial small subunit ribosomal RNA", at positions 527 to 896 of the family's 1533-position model. The record is from RNAcentral.